RNAcentral lists this ribosomal RNA (424 nucleotides) under uncultured bacterium. RNAcentral's name for it is "bacterial SSU rRNA". It matches the Rfam family "Bacterial small subunit ribosomal RNA", at positions 508 to 930 of the family's 1533-position model. The record is from RNAcentral.
CCAGCAGCCGCGGUAAUACGUAGGGGGCGAGCGUUGUCCGGAAUUAUUGGGCGUAAAGAGCGCGCAGGCGGUUUGUUAAGUCUACCGUGAAAGCUUACGGCUCAACCGUAACGGGUCGGUGGAUACUGGCAGACUUGAGGGCAGGAGAGGAAAGUGGAAUUCCCAGUGUAGCGGUGAAAUGCGUAGAGAUUGGGAGGAACACCAGUGGCGAAGGCGACUUUCUGGACUGCAACUGACGCUGAGGCGCGAAAGCUGGGGGAGUGAACGGGAUUAGAUACCCCGGUAAUCCCAGCCGUAAACGAUGGGUACUAGGUGUAGGAGGUAUCGACCCCUUCUGUGCCGGAGUUAACGCAAUAAGUACCCCGCCUGGGGAGUACGGUCGCAAGACUGAAACUCAAAGGAAUUGACGGGGGCCCGCACAAGC